GUCCAAGCUAACCCCCUUGGGAUAGCCUGCCGACCCAGUCACCUGGCAGUAAAGACAACCAGCUGAGACCCAGCCCGGUUUGUAGUUUCCUUUACACAUUUUCUCGUCUUUCAAAGACAAGCUAUCUGUUCCAACAACUUGGAGGGCAAAUGUUCAUAUUAGUUGGUCUGUCUCCACCAAGCAUUUUGGAUCAUCCCAGUUGUGGCUGAAAGGCCACUAGAAGCCUAGCACCUUCAGAAGUGGGGCAGCAGGAGGGGCUAGUUCUAAAGCAGCUCAGAAAGCCAAACCUCUCCUGCAGCCUCCUCAGGAAUUGAGAAUUGGGUAAUUUAUCUUCCUGCCCCAGUUUCCAAAAGUUUACUUAGGUGCUGCUGAAGGUCAUGUAUGGUUAGGAGUGUAGCACAAACAAGUGAGAAUUUUGCAUUCUUUGGUUGGUACACAAAGAGGAAAGAAUAGGAAAGCUCAGCUUUACGAGUGGGUAAAUGCAGACGAAUGGCUUUACUGUGAGAUGCAUGUUCUCGUGGCUGAAGUUCCCCAGAGAAGCCACUGGGAGCCAAUUCUGAAGGCAUGGACCUGGCUCCACUCCAG
RNAcentral lists this long non-coding RNA (585 nucleotides) under Marmota monax (woodchuck). Lineage: Eukaryota; Metazoa; Chordata; Mammalia; Rodentia; Sciuridae. The record is from RNAcentral.